GCAGCACACAGCAGCUAAGCUCCAAUCUGUCUUUCUGCAAUGCAGCCUCUCUGGUCAAUACUCAUUGCCCUGUCUGCCUCUUCCUCAUGUGUCCUCUCACAAGUGGUGCUGACCCAGUCAGAUUCGGUGUUAACAAAACCUGGAGAAUCCUAUAAGCUGAUCUGUGUCACCAGUGGGUUCACUCUUGGCGACUACUGGAUGAACUGGAUCAGACAGAAACCAGGCAAAGGAUUGGAAUGGCUUCUUCAGUAUUAUGAUGCUUCGAGCAAGUAUUAUUCCCCUUCAAUCCAGGGGCGAUUCACAGCCUCUAAGGACAGCACCAACUUCUAUCUGCAAAUGAACAACCUCAAAGCAGAAGACACUGCAGUCUAUUACUGUGCAAGAGACACAGUGAAAGGGAUCCCAGCAGAGCUCAGACAAAAUCCCUUGGCUGAAAGAACUUGA
This is a non-coding RNA of Anolis sagrei ordinatus, 444 nucleotides long. NCBI's taxonomy places the organism in Eukaryota, Metazoa, Chordata, Lepidosauria, Squamata, Anolidae. The record is from the annotation of a RefSeq genome assembly.